Molecule: transfer RNA, 57 nt
Filed under: Brassica oleracea var. oleracea
Lineage: Eukaryota; Viridiplantae; Streptophyta; Magnoliopsida; Brassicales; Brassicaceae
Rfam family: tRNA
About the family: Transfer RNA (tRNA) molecules are approximately 80 nucleotides in length. Their secondary structure includes four short double-helical elements and three loops (D, anti-codon, and T loops).
Source: Rfam by way of RNAcentral
UAGUAUAGUGGUAAGUAUUCUCGCCUGUCACGCGGAUGACCCGGGUUCGAUCCCCGG